UACGUAGGGUGCAAGCGUUAAUCGGAAUUACUGGGCGUAAAGCGCACGUAGGUGGUUUUCUAAGUCAGCUGUGAAAUCCCCGGGCUCAACCUGGGACUUGCAGUUGAAACUGGGAAGCUAGAGUAGGGUAGAGGGGUGUGGAAUUCCAGGUGUAGCGGUGAAAUGCGUAGAUAUCUGGAGGAACAUCAGUGGCGAAGGCGACCACCUGGACUGAUACUGACACUGAGGUGCGAAAGCGUGGGGAGCAAACAGG
RNAcentral lists this ribosomal RNA (253 nucleotides) under uncultured bacterium. RNAcentral's name for it is "partial 16S ribosomal RNA". It matches the Rfam family "Bacterial small subunit ribosomal RNA", at positions 524 to 776 of the family's 1533-position model. The record is from RNAcentral.